AGCGAACGCUGGCGGCAUGCUUAACACAUGCAAGUCGCACGGGCAGCUUCGGCUGUCAGUGGCGGACGGGUGAGUAACGCGUAGGUAUCUAUCCUUGGGUGGGGGACAACCGUGGGAAACUACGGCUAAUACCGCAUGAUAACUGAGGUUUAAAGGCGCAAGUCGCCUGAGGAGGAGCCUGCGUACGAUUAGCUAGUUGGUGGGGUAAAGGCCUACCAAGGCGACGAUCGUUAGCUGGUCUGAGAGGAUGAUCAGCCACAUUGGGACUGAGACACGGCCCAAACUCCUACGGGAGGCAGCAGUGGGAAUAUUGGACAAUGGGCGAAAGCCUGAUCCAGCAAUGCCGCGUGUGUGAAGAAGGUCUUCGGAUUGUAAAGCACUUUCGACGGGGACGAUGAUGACGGUACCCGUAGAAGAACGCCCCGGCUAACUUCGUGCC
RNAcentral lists this ribosomal RNA (439 nucleotides) under uncultured bacterium. RNAcentral describes it as "bacterial SSU rRNA". It matches the Rfam family "Bacterial small subunit ribosomal RNA", at positions 29 to 509 of the family's 1533-position model. The record is from RNAcentral.